Poecilia formosa (Amazon molly) is the source of this 45-nucleotide non-coding RNA. Lineage: Eukaryota; Metazoa; Chordata; Actinopteri; Cyprinodontiformes; Poeciliidae. The record is from Rfam.
ACAACGGCUCUUUUAAGAGCCACACACUCAUUACAUCAUGAGAGC